GAUGAACGCUAGCUACAGGCUUAACACAUGCAAGUCGAGGGGAAACGACAUCGAAAGCUUGCUUUUGAUGGGCGUCGACCGGCGCACGGGUGAGUAACGCGUAUCCAACCUGCCCAUCACUUGGGAAUAACCUUGCGAAAGUAAGACUAAUACCCAAUGAUAUCCCACGAAGGCAUCGGAAUGGGAUUAAAGAUUUAUCGGUGAUGGGUGGGGAGGCGUCUGAUUAGCUUGUUGGCGGGGUAACGGCCCACCAAGGCAACGAUCAGUAGGGGUUCUGAGAGGAAGGUCCCCCACAUUGGAACUGAGACACGGUCCAAACUCCUACGGGAGGCAGCAGUGAGGAAUAUUGGUCAAUGGGCGAGCGCCUGAACCAGCCAAGUAGCGUGAAGGAAGACGGCCCUAUGGGUUGUAAACUGCUUUUAUAAGGGAAUAAAGUGGGUCACGUGUGACUUUUUGCAUGUACCUUAUGAAUAAGGACCGGCUAAUUCCGUG
This 492-nucleotide ribosomal RNA is filed under the name uncultured bacterium. RNAcentral's name for it is "partial 16S ribosomal RNA". It matches the Rfam family "Bacterial small subunit ribosomal RNA", at positions 28 to 507 of the family's 1533-position model. The record is from RNAcentral.